CGAUUCUGGCUCAGAACGAACGCUGGCGGCAGGCCUAACACAUGCAAGUCGAGCGCGCCCUUCGGGGUGAGCGGCGGACGGGUUAGUAACGCGUGGGAACGUACCCUUUGGUAGGGAAUAGCCACUGGAAACGGUGAGUAAUACCCUAUGAGCCCUUCGGGGGAAAGAUUUAUCGCCAAAGGAUCGGCCCGCGUUAGAUUAGGUAGUUGGUGGGGUAAUGGCCUACCAAGCCUACGAUCUAUAGCUGGUUUUAGAGGAUGAUCAGCAACACUGGGACUGAGACACGGCCCAGACUCCUACGGGAGGCAGCAGUGGGGAAUCUUGGACAAUGGGGGCAACCCUGAAUCCAGCCAUGCCGCGUGAGUGAAGAAGGCCUUAGGGUCGUAAAGCUCUUUCGCCUGUGAAGAUAAUGACGGUAGCAGGUAAAGAAACCCCGGCUAACUCCGUGCCAGCAGCCGC
This 459-nucleotide ribosomal RNA is filed under the name uncultured bacterium. RNAcentral's name for it is "bacterial SSU rRNA". It matches the Rfam family "Bacterial small subunit ribosomal RNA", at positions 14 to 518 of the family's 1533-position model. The record is from RNAcentral.